This 142-nucleotide small nuclear RNA is filed under the name Dipodomys ordii (Ord's kangaroo rat). Its description in RNAcentral is "U4 spliceosomal RNA (ENSDORG00000024395.1)". The stretch from base 1 to 74 matches the Rfam family "U4 spliceosomal RNA". Rfam says of the family: U4 small nuclear RNA (U4 snRNA) is a component of the major U2-dependent spliceosome. The structure of U4 snRNA from yeast and human has been reported. The record is from RNAcentral. Lineage: Eukaryota; Metazoa; Chordata; Mammalia; Rodentia; Heteromyidae.
AGCUUUGCUCAGUGGCAGUAUCAUAGCCAAUGAGGUUUAUUUGAGGCAAAAUUAUUGCUAAUUGAAAAUUGAGUAGUUAGGAUUACAGGCAUGAGUCACUGACAUUAGCUAGGGCCAACUUUAAAUUUCAGUUCCACUUAAC